UCAUCUUGAAGUCCAUUAACAUUAGGCAUAUUUGUAUCCCAUAGUAUCGAUAUUCUCCCAUUUCUAGCUUCAUUGUAAUUUGUUAGAAUUCCCCAUCCAGGAACCAGCAGCUUAGCAAUUCUAUGAGCAUUUGCCUUUUUAACCUUAGUUUCUACCAAUACAACUAGGUUUAUUCUAUUGCUUCUAAUAUACUCCCUAACUUCCUACUGUUUUUAACUUUUAUUUACACCUAUAAUAUUCUAGAACAACCACUUCAUUGUUGAUUACUUAGUCCACAUGUAUCCCCCGAUGGCACUUCAUACUUGCCAUUGAACAUUGCUUCAAACCUAUUACUCACAGGAAUGGAUGAUAAGGGAGGAAAGUUAAUGAAAUUGAAUUAUGGGCUUUGUACUUUUUUCCCUUUAUCUUCCUGUUUCUCCAUAGUUGGUAUCAGACUUGGUAGCUCAUUGCACUCUUUAGGGAUCUGACCUUCAUUCAUCUCAUUUAUUGUAGCAAGUUGUGGUGCUGAUACUGUUGUUUCUUUUUUAAUAGGAGCGACAGUUACAGGGGCCUUGAUUCUCCAUUCCUAUGUAACUUUUGCUUUCUUCAGUUGAUUAGGUUGGUGUGUAUGGGUUGAACACAUGUGGCCUACAAUUUGACAUUUCUCACAAAAGGAAGGUUUCCAAUCGUAUCACAUCUUGUAAGAACUUCUUCCCAUUUGGUUCCAUCACCUGUAUUUCACUUGGCAGUUCUUUGGUGACAUUAAUCUCUAUAAGUAUCCGAGCAUGGGAGACUCUAGUUUGUUUAGUUGUGCAUUCAUCAGCAAAAAUAGGCUUCCCUAACACACUGGCAAUCCUACUUAAUGAUCUCAUUCCCCAGCAAGACAUAGGGAGCUAAGGAAACUUAACCCCCAGUGGGAUAUCAGUAGGGAAUUCCUCAGUGAAAUCAAAUUCAGGGGUCCAUGGUUUGAGAAUUAUAGGUCUGUUAGCUAUAGAAUAAGGUCCAGCACAGAGGAUUUCCUUAGCGUCUUCCAUUGUUUUGAAUCUGUAUGUAAUAACGUUCAUCAUGGUAGAAUAGAUCUGGUUCUGGUACGUGUGACCAGUGAAGGUUAAUAUAUCUCUUCAUCACAUUAAACCCUGGUCCAUCUCCUAAAACAUAGGCAAUUAACGCACAUUUCCACUUCUUCUUUUCCUCCUCUACCUCUAAUUUAUUUAAUUGCACUAUUGGUUGCCCAUCU
This 1216-nucleotide long non-coding RNA is filed under the name Nicotiana benthamiana. RNAcentral's name for it is "long non-coding RNA (NBEN_LNC004652)". Lineage: Eukaryota; Viridiplantae; Streptophyta; Magnoliopsida; Solanales; Solanaceae. The record is from RNAcentral.